This is a long non-coding RNA of Rhodamnia argentea, 314 nucleotides long. RefSeq lists it as uncharacterized. The transcript is spliced from 2 exons. Lineage: Eukaryota; Viridiplantae; Streptophyta; Magnoliopsida; Myrtales; Myrtaceae. The record is from RefSeq and is a predicted model, not a curated record.
CUGGAUGGGAAGGAUCAGCCAAUGAUUGUCGAGUGCUCUUAGCCGCGCUCGAAGAUCCGAAACGUAACUUUCCUCGACCUCCACCAGGCAAAUACUACAUGGUAGAUUCUGGUUAUGCAGCACUUCUAGGAUUUUUAACGCCAUUUAAAGGUGAACGGUAUCAUUUGAAUGAUUAUAGAGGUAGAGGGAGACGGGCUACAACAGCAAGAGAAAUAUUCAACCAUAAGCACUCUUCACUUCGGAAUGUAAUUAAGAGAGCAUUUGGGGCGCUAAAGAAACGAUUCUUUAUAUUACAACACAUGCCUUCCUUUCCA